RNAcentral lists this ribosomal RNA (480 nucleotides) under uncultured bacterium. RNAcentral's name for it is "bacterial SSU rRNA". It matches the Rfam family "Bacterial small subunit ribosomal RNA", at positions 28 to 507 of the family's 1533-position model. The record is from RNAcentral.
GAUGAACGCUGGCGGCGUGCUUAACACAUGCAAGUCGAACGAAGCACUUUAUUACGAUUUCUUCGGAAUGACGAUUUGGUGACUGAGUGGCGGACGGGUGAGUAACGCGUGGGUAACCUGCCUUAUACAGGGGGAUAACAGUUGGAAACGGCUGCUAAUACCGCAUAAGCGCACAGGGUCGCAUGACCUGGUGUGAAAAACUCCGGUGGUACAAGAUGGACCCGCGUCUGAUUAGCUAGUUGGUGAGGUAACGGCCCACCAAGGCGACGAUCAGUAGCCGGCCUGAGAGGGUGAACGGCCACAUUGGGACUGAGACACGGCCCAAACUCCUACGGGAGGCAGCAGUGGGGAAUAUUGCACAAUGGGGGAAACCCUGAUGCAGCGACGCCGCGUGGAGGAAGAAGGUCUUCGGAUUGUAAACUCCUGUUGUUGAGGAAGAUAAUGACGGUACUCAACAAGGAAGUGACGGCUAACUACGUG